GGGCGUUACAGCUCUUUUAGAAUUUGUCUAAUAGGUUUUCUCAUCCUCAUUGGAAAACCCCC
Molecule: small nuclear RNA, 62 nt
Filed under: Microcebus murinus (gray mouse lemur)
Lineage: Eukaryota; Metazoa; Chordata; Mammalia; Primates; Cheirogaleidae
Description: U7 small nuclear RNA (ENSMICG00000043156.1)
Rfam family: U7 small nuclear RNA
About the family: Animal histone pre-mRNAs are spliced by a different mechanism than nuclear pre-mRNAs and self-splicing introns. This processing involves the U7 snRNP, which contains only one RNA species: U7.
Source: Rfam by way of RNAcentral